AAAAUUUAGAAAUACGGAGUUAAGGUUGAAUUCUAGAGAGAGAAAGUAAGAGUAAGAGAGAGAAAGAGAGGUUUAAGGGAGGUUUUUAGUUUAGGUCUACCAACUGGUUGUUAGAGAUUAUACUCCUUAACCAAACAUCGUCGUCAACAGCUCGUUUUCUAGAGAGAGAAACAUAUACUUUUAGAGAGAGAAACAUAUAGUUUUAGAGAGAGAAAGUGGUGAAAGAAAGAAGAAGGAAGAAAGGGAAAUCCAUCAAAGAAAAGAUCAGAUAAUAGCUCAGCAGCUUAAACACAUACACACACAGUGACACACAUAUGUGUAUAUGUAUAUAGAUAUAGAGAGAUAAAUUUUCUUGAAAGUGGAUUAUAGUUCUUUUUUUUUUUGGCUUUCUGCGACAUUUUUUCUGGGAUUUUCAUAUAGAUAAUCACAGAAAGACAAAAGAAAACCAUAUAUAUACAUACAUACAUAUAAGAAGAGAGAGAGUAUGUGGGGGGUUUUCACGUGGGAAUUGAUGGAAGAAUGGAAAGAUUUUAAAAGAAAGUUAUGAUUUUGAUGUAUCGAUUGAUUGAUGAGUGAUCAUAAAACACCAUCAUCAUCAUCUAUCAUCAUCAUCAUCAUCAUAAACAUCAAAACUCUCACCUUGUUUCAUUAAAAUCUCAGAACUGAAUUCAACCAGUUUUUUCUCUUUCUCUCUCUCUCUCUCUACCCUUCAAUGCUGAGUACUUGUGUUUUCUGAAUUCCGGGCAGUUCGGGCAGAGUCGUAUUAAUUGAUUGUGAUUCUGAAUUUGGAGACCCCAUGUGUACAUCUGGUCUUGGGAUCAUCAUCAUCAACAUCGGUGUACAUGAAUUCAUGGAAAUUGCAUCACAAAAUUGAAGCUUACUUGUUCCCCACAACCACACACCCAUGACUUAAUUUCAGGUAUUUUUUUCUUUUUUUAAAUUCAUAUAUUCCUAAUCUGUUGACUUUUUUUGCUUCCAAUAUCUAUCUCAUCAUCAAGAACACAUUUUUUUUUCUUAUAUGGGUUUUCUUGAUUAAUUUCCAUUAACCCUUUUUGAUCUUUAUUCUGUUGAUCAUAUUUUUCAAAGAUUCAUACAAUUGAGUGGAUUAUAUGGGUGUUUACUUGUUUUGUUCAUCUUGAAAUUGAUCAAAUAAAAAUGGGUUUGUUUCUUUAAUUAGUUUCCAUACAAAAUGUUAAUUUGAUGAUGAAUUGAGGGUAUUUUGGGAAUAUAUAUAUUGAAAAAGAGUUGUCUACAAAUUUACCUUGUUUGAUAGCAGCAAAACAAACAGGGAAUAUCUCUACUACUACGCGUAUCAUGUGAGGGUUGCGUACACAAACAAACAUCAAAGUACUUUCUUUGUGUUGCUUUUAUGCUUAUGUCCUUCUCCAACCAUUAAUACUCCCUCCAUCUUCUAUCUUCUCAUUUCAUUGUAUGUUUGUUUCAUAAAGAUUCAAUCUUUGUUACCAUUUUAAUGAUUUCACUUUGAUUUUCUGCUUUUUGAUGAGCCAUUAUAUUUCAUUUUUCAAUUUUCACCUUGCUAGAUUGAACUACUUGGUAAAAAAAACGUUGAAAAAAUAUACUAGUAGUUUUCUUUUGUCAAGGUUAAAUAAAUCAAUCCCUGUUACCAUUU
Molecule: long non-coding RNA, 1630 nt
Filed under: Lactuca sativa (garden lettuce)
Lineage: Eukaryota; Viridiplantae; Streptophyta; Magnoliopsida; Asterales; Asteraceae
Description: long non-coding RNA (LSAT_LNC009819)
Source: RNAcentral